This 74-nucleotide transfer RNA is filed under the name Bacillota bacterium. Its description in RNAcentral is "tRNA-Arg". It matches the Rfam family "tRNA". From Rfam's summary of the family: Transfer RNA (tRNA) molecules are approximately 80 nucleotides in length. Their secondary structure includes four short double-helical elements and three loops (D, anti-codon, and T loops). Lineage: Bacteria; Bacillati; Bacillota. The record is from RNAcentral.
UCGCCUGUAGCUCAAUUGGAUAGAGCGCGUGGCUACGGACCACGAGGUUGCGGGUUCGAGUCCUGCCGGGCGCG